GUGGAAAUGGCUUGUCCCGAUUCAACCCGAGGUGGGGGUCGGAGGAGGGGUGGUUAGCGACGGAGCUUGCGCAGCGUCCGGGAGCCGCAGUCAAAGGGCGUGGCCAAGGGUUCCUUGGAGACUAGGUCCCCAGGGCUUUAAAAAAUGACACAAUUCUUUUACCGGGCGCUGGAAACUAGACGUCCUGCAGGCUUUACCCUUGGGAAGACACUGGAGUGUCAUAAUCUGAGAAACGACAUACCCCGGCUUAGGUGUUAGGAGAGUCAUUCAGCCUGGUGUGUGAAAAAAACCCACAACAGGAUUCUGGGUUAAUUUUGAAUGUGGAACAAACAGGAUUUGCUGAUGGAUUGGGUAUGAAAUUUGGGAGAGAGAGUCUUAUCCUGUCAAUGGUAAGUACAAGAAUGUUCACAUAAUGCACAGUCCUGUUGACUCUACCUGUGAAAUAAAGUCUGAAUCUAGCCACUCCGCUCAUUUUUUCCACCCCCGUAACCAUCCAAGCCACCAGACAUCUGGCUGUCACCAGGAUGCUGUCCACACAAGAAAAAGUCUUUAAGCGACUAUGUCAAGCUAAAUAAAUAAAGGAAAUCAAGGACUUCCACUCACAGCCAGUAGAAAGGAUGCCAAAUCUGUCAAGAUAAGAAAAAUAAGGAUAAUGUGAAGUUUAAAGUCCAACACAGCAGAUACCUUUUUACCUUGGUCAUCACGGACAAAGGCUGAGAUACUGAAGCAGUCCCUGCCCCCAGGUUUGGCGGUGAAAGAACUGAGAUGGGACAGAUAUGCUGAUCUGAACUGUAUUAAAAUGUUAAAAUUUCAAAAAAAUUAAAAUGUGAAAAUGAA
Molecule: long non-coding RNA, 837 nt
Organism: Phyllostomus discolor (pale spear-nosed bat)
Lineage: Eukaryota; Metazoa; Chordata; Mammalia; Chiroptera; Phyllostomidae
Exons: 2
Source: RefSeq, a predicted model, not a curated record